This 253-nucleotide ribosomal RNA is filed under the name uncultured bacterium. RNAcentral describes it as "partial 16S ribosomal RNA". It matches the Rfam family "Bacterial small subunit ribosomal RNA", at positions 524 to 776 of the family's 1533-position model. The record is from RNAcentral.
UACAGAGGUCUCAAGCGUUGUUCGGAUUCAUUGGGCGUAAAGCGCACGUAGGCGGUUUGUUAAGUCGGAUGUGAAAUCCCUCGGCUCAACUGAGGAAGUGCACCCGAAACUGGCAAGCUUGAGUACGAAAGAGGGUCGCGGAAUUCCCGGUGUAGAGGUGAAAUUCGUAGAUAUCGGGAGGAACACCGGUGGCGAAGGCGGCGACCUGGGUCGAUACUGACGCUGAGGUGCGAAAGCGUGGGGAGCAAACAGG